RNAcentral lists this non-coding RNA (20 nucleotides) under Pteropus alecto (black flying fox). Its record names the gene pal-miR-142-5p. RNAcentral also lists the same sequence under 3 other names. Lineage: Eukaryota; Metazoa; Chordata; Mammalia; Chiroptera; Pteropodidae. The record is from miRBase by way of RNAcentral.
CCCAUAAAGUAGAAAGCACU